AGAAUCAACGCUGGCGGCGUGCCUAACACAUGCAAGUCGCACGAGAAAGUGGAGCAAUCCAUGAGUAAAGUGGCGCACGGGUGAGUAACACGUGAAUGAUCUACCUCCGAGUGGGGAAUAACUGAGAGAAAUCUUAGCUAAUACCGCAUAACACUUACGAGUCAAAGCAGCAAUGCGCUUGGAGAGGAGUUCGCGGCCGAUUAGCUAGUUGGCGGGUAAUGGCCCACCAAGGCGAUGAUCGGUAUCCGGCCUGAGAGGGCGCACGGACACACUGGAACUGAAACACGGUCCAGACUCCUACGGGAGGCAGCAGUGGGGAAUUUUGCGCAAUGGGGGAAACCCUGACGCAGCAACGCCGCGUGGAGGAUGAAAUAUCUUGGUAUGUAAACUCCUUUCGAUGGGGAAGAUUAUGACGGUACCAUAGAAGAAGCCCGGCUAACUUCGCGCCAGCAGCCGCGGUAA
RNAcentral lists this ribosomal RNA (462 nucleotides) under uncultured bacterium. RNAcentral's name for it is "SSU rRNA". It matches the Rfam family "Bacterial small subunit ribosomal RNA", at positions 26 to 523 of the family's 1533-position model. The record is from RNAcentral.